CCUACGGGAGGCAGCAGUCGAGAAUCAUUCACAAUGGGGGAAACCCUGAUGGUGCGACGCCGCGUGGGGGAAUGAAGGUCUUCGGAUUGUAAACCCCUGUCAUGUGGGAGCAAAUUAAAAAGAUAGUACCACAAGAGGAAGAGCCGGCUAACUCUGUGCCAGCAGCCGCGGUAAUACAGAGGUCUCAAGCGUUGUUCGGAAUCACUGGGCGUAAAGCGUGCGUAGGCUGUUUCGUAAGUCGUGUGUGAAAGGCGCGGGCUCAACCCGCGGACGGCACAUGAUACUGCGAGACUAGAGUAAGGGAGGGGGAACCGGAAUUCUCGGUGUAGCAGUGAAAUGCGUAGAUAUCGAGAGGAACACUCGUGGCGAAGGCGGGUUCCUGGACAUUAACUGACGCUGAGGCACGAAGGCCAGGGGAGCGAAAGGGAUUAGAUACCCUGGUAGUC
RNAcentral lists this ribosomal RNA (446 nucleotides) under uncultured bacterium. Its description in RNAcentral is "partial 16S ribosomal RNA". It matches the Rfam family "Bacterial small subunit ribosomal RNA", at positions 338 to 795 of the family's 1533-position model. The record is from RNAcentral.